Molecule: ribosomal RNA, 253 nt
Filed under: uncultured bacterium
Lineage: Bacteria
Description: partial 16S ribosomal RNA
Rfam family: Bacterial small subunit ribosomal RNA
Source: RNAcentral
UACGUAGGGGGCUAGCGUUGUCCGGAUUUAUUGGGCGUAAAGAGCUCGUAGGCGGCCUGUUGCGUCCGCUGUGAAAGCCCGGGGCUUAACCCCGGGUCGGCAGUGGAUACGGGCAGGCUAGAGGUAGGUAGGGGAGAAUGGAAUUCCCGGUGUAGCGGUGAAAUGCGCAGAUAUCGGGAGGAACACCGGUGACGAAGGCGGUUCUCUGGGCCUUACCUGACGCUGAGGAGCGAAAGCGUGGGGAGCGAACAGG